UCGAGGAUCUUUGGCAAUGAGCGCAAGCUUGACCAAGCGACGCCGCGUGUGCGAUGAAGGCCUUCGGGUUGUAAAGCACUGUCGAGGGGGAUCAAAGCGCAACCUUGAGUGAUCCCUGGAGGAAGCACGGGCUAAGUUCGUGCCAGCAGCCGCGGUAAGACGAACCGUGCGAACGUUGUUCGGAAUCACUGGGCUUAAAGGGCGCGUAGGCGGGUCAGCAAGUCCGGGGUGAAAUCUUUCGGCUUAACCGGAAAAGUGCCUUGGAGACUGCUGGUCUUGAGGGAGGUAGGGGCCUGCGGAACUUCUGGUGGAGCGGUGAAAUGCGUUGAUAUCAGAAGGAACGCCGGUGGCGAAAGCGGCGGGCUGGACCUCUUCUGACGCUGAGGCGCGAAAGCCAGGGGAGCAAACGGGAUUAGAUACCCCCGUAGUCC
RNAcentral lists this ribosomal RNA (431 nucleotides) under uncultured bacterium. RNAcentral describes it as "bacterial SSU rRNA". It matches the Rfam family "Bacterial small subunit ribosomal RNA", at positions 355 to 796 of the family's 1533-position model. The record is from RNAcentral.